AGAGAAUGGUGGUCCAUCAGGGUCACGCCCCUAGGCAACGAGAGGCCAAAGGGACGGGAAGACGACGUCCCCGCGAAGGCGAGAAGUAUCCGGCCGGAACCUUCCGGGAGGCCCGGGCAGCUUGUGGGCGGGGCUUCAGCCUUCUGCGGAACGCCGGGACGAGGUCACGUUCGGACGCAGCUUCCGCUUCCGGGGUGGAAGGUGGUCGGGUUGUCAGGGCGACGGAGCUGAGCCGCCGCGGGGCUGGCCCGCCGUGUCCCGCUCCGCUGCGCCCUUCCGGGCCUCGGGAGGGUCGCGGCCGCGAUCGGGGCCUCGCGGCGGGAAGCGAGGGGCGGGCGGAGCGCGGGGCCCGGGACUUGCGGUCCCCUGCGGGGCUGCGGCCUGGCCGACGCGUCCGCGCGCCCGAGCCCGCGGCCCGAUGAAUGGGGACCGGAGACGGGCGCGAUCGGCUGGGCCGGCGGUUCCGCCGGAAGGCGCAGGCGGCCCGGCCCGGCCCGGCGUGCUCGGCGGCGAGUGCUCGAUUCAUUGAUUCGACCUAAGCUGGCGUCCGGUGAACUCGGCGUGGACUGUUACAUCCAAAAUCUCUUUCACUUCACUCCUGAGUCUAUCAUUGGAAACUUGGCUUCUUUGGAAGAAGAGUGAUAGUGGGCAGUGACUAACCGCAUAUAGUGUGUAAACUGGCUUCAAAACUUCAGUGAAGCGCUUUAUUGAGCUGAUAGUACAGCUGCCAGUCAACAUCGAGAGGAAUCCUUGAGCCCAACAUUACAGGGAUUACGGCCUUGCCGUGUACGCAGCUGACCCAGGUUUGCUCCCUGGCAUUAAGUCUGAUCAGCUACAUCUGGUCAGCCGUGAGCCCCGCCAGCGUGAUCCUUGCGUGCAGGGCCAGAGGUUAGCCUCGAGUACCAGUGGGUGUGGCCCCCAAGACAAAUUACUCUUUGGCUAGGAAGCCUGUGUUCAUUCCAGUGAUCGGCUUUCCGGGUGUGGGGCAGUGUGGUCGGAACUCGGGAAGGGGAGGCUUGGAGAAGCAGCUCUUCUCUCACGCCUGACUGGGUGGCUCCCAUCACAAGAUCCCCAGACCCCGUUUCGAAACCAGAGAAAUGGAGGUAGUGCAUCUCAGUUAGGUUCUUAAAAGGAACCCAAAAUGUGAAGUGCUCAGGCUGAACGUGAUCGUGGUUUGCUUUGAACUACGCCCUUCUCGGAGCAUUGGAACCAGGCAUCAGUCAUUGACUGAAACAGGGCCGAGUGCGGACUGUGCGUUUAGAAAGCAUGGACCAGAGAGAUCGUGUGCAUGUGCUGACGUGGGUUAGUCCCGCCACUACGUAUGGGUCUCUGAGCAGUACUGGCUGUAGCCCAAAAAAAAAAAAAAAACAAGAAAAUAAAUAA
This is a long non-coding RNA of Sorex araneus (European shrew), 1383 nucleotides long. RefSeq lists it as uncharacterized. The record is from RefSeq and is a predicted model, not a curated record. The transcript has 3 exons. Lineage: Eukaryota; Metazoa; Chordata; Mammalia; Eulipotyphla; Soricidae.